CCGCCGCCUCCCGUGCAAUUAUGAUGAUCUCGCUCACAACAUUAAAGCCACAGUGAUGAAAAUUGGCGCCGCAGCACGGAGUCCCCCAACAUAUUGAGAUGAAUUCAUCACGGGCUUCAUGCUCGUUGGAGAUGUCAAACUAUGUCUCAGCGUUAUCGAGUGCCUCGCUAAUCAAGUACCUGCCAUAAGACUCCCAAGACUGAUUCUGUUUAAAAUGCAGCGACCACCAAGACAGAUGAUUCACUCAAUGACUCAUCGUAGUUCCACAGGACUCUCAAAGAAAGACAUGUGGUUGUCGAGCUUUGUUUUGAUCUUUGCUCGUCGAGAACAUCUCCAACACAAAGAUAUAGAACCACUCUUCGUAAACUGUCUUCUUUUGUUCCGCAGACAGAUUCUUUAAAGUUCAACCUCGGGUCAAACAGACAGUGAGGUAUGCUGGGAAUUUAAAACCUCUCGAUUAUUUUGACGUUGAGGAUCGUUCCGACUCUUAUCUUUAUCUCUGAAAAAACUUGAAAACACACGAUAGCCCCGUCAAGGACUCCGCCUGUCUGACUGCAGUCCAUAAAAGACAAGAUUGCAGGAAUAGUUUGCCGUGCCGUCGACGUCUUCAGAAGUUAUUGCUCAUAAAAAUAAAAAAAAAGACAAAGUUGUGAGUGGCUGUCAUGCGAUGUGCAGCAGGAGUAGCGUUGGAGUUUGACAGACAAAGAAGCGGGGAGUGUAAGUAGCAUGAAGACGGGGAUCAUCAAUCAGCAGACAAGCUCUGCUCGUUACUAUAAAUCACUGCUGAGCCAGAGGGCGUCAUCUGUCCCCGUCCUCACACAAUCAGAGGCAGCGAGCGGCGUUAUGACUUUUCACAGAUGGGAAAGAAAAAAACAAUAUGUACCACUUUGUUUUGUUUAUUUGCUUCAUCAACAAUCAUACACAUUCGUCGGUCUCCCAGCACGUAAACACAGGACAUGAACACCAGUUUGCCUGUCCAUUGUCAUCAGCAAACAAGCCUGUGGAUGUUUAUCCUGCAUGAGGAAACAUAUUCAGUAGCACAGUCAAAUCCAAAACAAAGAAAAAUGCUUCAUUAAAAAGAACGAGCCGACGUCAGUGCAUUUCUGUACCACGUCUCGUCCUGCAGGUUCUCUAUGGUCACAUUGGUGAGGGAGUGCUCAGCAGGUCAGAGUGCUCAGCAGGUCAGAGUGCACAGCAGGUCGGAGUGCUCAG
This is a long non-coding RNA of Labrus mixtus (cuckoo wrasse), 1212 nucleotides long. RefSeq lists it as uncharacterized. The record is from RefSeq and is a predicted model, not a curated record. Lineage: Eukaryota; Metazoa; Chordata; Actinopteri; Labriformes; Labridae. The transcript is spliced from 3 exons.